UGGGGAAUAUUGGACAAUGGGCGAAAGCCUGAUCCAGCCAUGCCGCGUGUGUGAAGAAGGUCUUCGGAUUGUAAAGCACUUUAAGUUGGGAGGAAGGGCAUUAACCUAAUACGUUAGUGUUUUGACGUUACCGACAGAAUAAGCACCGGCUAACUCUGUGCCAGCAGCCGCGGUAAUACAGAGGGUGCAAGCGUUAAUCUGAAUUACUGGGCGUAAAGCGCGCGUAGGUGGUUUGUUAAGUUGGAUGUGAAAUCCCCGGGCUCAACCUGGGAACUGCAUUCAAAACUGACUGACUAGAGUAUGGUAGAGGGUGGUGGAAUUUCCUGUGUAGCGGUGAAAUGCGUAGAUAUAGGAAGGAACACCAGUGGCGAAGGCGACCACCUGGACUAAUACUGACACUGAGGUGCGAAAGCGUGGGGAGCAAACA
RNAcentral lists this ribosomal RNA (427 nucleotides) under uncultured bacterium. Its description in RNAcentral is "partial 16S ribosomal RNA". It matches the Rfam family "Bacterial small subunit ribosomal RNA", at positions 355 to 774 of the family's 1533-position model. The record is from RNAcentral.